This is a long non-coding RNA of Dreissena polymorpha, 812 nucleotides long. RefSeq lists it as uncharacterized. NCBI's taxonomy places the organism in Eukaryota, Metazoa, Mollusca, Bivalvia, Myida, Dreissenidae. The record is from RefSeq and is a predicted model, not a curated record. The transcript is spliced from 6 exons.
CCUAAUCAACGAGUUGAAGUGACGAAGACAAAAUGUACACGGGUUUCCAAGCCAUUAGUAAAACCUUCAAAAUUGGUAGUACAUGUAGAUGAUCAAACAGCGGAUCCAUCCCAUCUAUGCGAUGAAACAUUGACUGAUGUCAAUAACAAUUCAACACCAAAGGAAGUUUGCACCAAUAAAAGGACUUGUCGAUGCAGAAAAGCAAAGUUUGUUGGUAGACAGAUUCGACACAAAUGGAUUGUUGAUAAGGAAACCAAUAAGAGCAAAUGGUAUAUUGGAACAGUGAUAGAUGUAGUAUCAGGAAAAGACGGUGAUCCACAAGCGGUACAUGAAGUCCUGUAUAAAGGAGAAGACAGCCCAUAUAUGGUGAAUGGGCUUCAACGGGAUGUGGAUGAAGGCUCGUUGAAGUUCGUUGAUAUAUAGACUAGAAAACAUUGCGAAAAAGUGGUAUAGGUUCCAGCUGCUGUCAGUGGAUAUAUGAAUACAAGAAGAAAAUAAGGACUUAAAACUCCCAAGAAGAAAGUGGUUUAUGAGUCUGAUUCCGACUCGGAGCUGCACAUUGACUCUUCUAUUACAGAAGGGGACUUGGACUAGGAAGAAGAGGGUAUCCAUCAAGCCCGGAUUUUAGGAAGCGACAGAAAAGCGAAAUUCCUGCAGUACCAGUAGAUAUUUAAUAUGCGGUCUGACAUAAAGGUCACUUCAGUGUUACCAUGCUUUAAACACUUUACUAAUUAAUUGUACAGCAUGCAGUCUUUAAAAUAAACACUUGCUCACUAGAAUGAGGCAAGUAAAUAAUUAUAUUGUCAGGUACA